ACAUAAGUAAGAACCUCUUCUUCACUCAGAGUCUUCUCCCCACUUCUUUCACCAUCAUUUUACUCGGCGUGGACACUUCGUCGGAAUGGUUCGCCAGAAAAGUUACUCGAUUCUCGUGCGUGAGAUAUAUCUCUGGCUCCGCAUAUUUUGGAGGAGCGUCGAUUAAGCCUAAGGAGCGGUGUAUCGACGACAUUUUGGUAGCGAGAUUGCUUGCCGGGUCAUGCGAACGGCGAAGCGUUUAGGGAUUCAAACCGACCAUUGCUGUUUGCAGUUGACGCUGAUUGAGAUGCGCUCCACGUGAAGUCUGCAGACGAAGCGGUACUGAAUGGCUCGCCCUCGGCUCGGUUCGGCUCAGUUACCUCAGUGGUGCGACUAUCAUGGAGGCAUAAGGUGUGAUUCUGGUAUGAUGAAAAGAUGAGAGAUGGAUGACUAACAGAGUAUUCCAGUGUCCUCUCCCCUGAUCAUUACCAAUAAGAUGUGUUGUGUUGUGUUGUGUUUGUUCGGCGGCCGACCUAUAUUGUUCUUGCCGAUGCUCUCUCUCUCUCUCGGUGUUUUGAAGUAGAGCUCAGCUCAGGGAUAUAUCUAAGCUAACGAGUGAAGAUGAUGUAUACCACAAGAGAGAGAGUCACAAGCACAUGAGAUGACUUCUAAGCUCACCCGGCGGGAAUGAGUCAACUCGGGUUCAAUGGCUCUGCUUCUUCUAAACUUGGUUACCAAUCUCCCAAAAUAGGUGUGUACUCAAAAGGGGUCUCGGUGUUGAUCCCGGGAGACCAUAUACCCCGUACCCGCACCAGUACCCUGUGUUUCCAACAGUCGAAGUUCAAGUCCGAACUCCACCAUCCAAGAAUGUUAAAAGUUGAAUGCAUAAUAAUUCCAUGCUUUUCUGCUUAUGCGGUUAACUUUUUUUUUUGUAUCGUGUUUCGCCUCUUGAUUUCAACUUCAUUGCUGAGAUUUUAUGAGGUACAAUAUGAAAAAAGUUGUAUAUAAUUAAUUAGAGGAACCAAAGUUGUAUAUAAUUAAUUAGAGCCCUGGCUUAAGUUA
Molecule: long non-coding RNA, 1041 nt
Organism: Camelina sativa (false flax)
Lineage: Eukaryota; Viridiplantae; Streptophyta; Magnoliopsida; Brassicales; Brassicaceae
Source: RefSeq, a predicted model, not a curated record